This 545-nucleotide ribosomal RNA is filed under the name Alteromonas sp. RNAcentral's name for it is "bacterial SSU rRNA". It matches the Rfam family "Bacterial small subunit ribosomal RNA", at positions 383 to 917 of the family's 1533-position model. The record is from RNAcentral. Lineage: Bacteria; Pseudomonadati; Pseudomonadota; Gammaproteobacteria; Alteromonadales; Alteromonadaceae.
CUGAUGCAGCCAUGCCGCGUGUGUGAAGAAGGCCUUCGGGUUGUAAAGCACUUUCAGUUGUGAGGAAAAGUUAGUAGUUAAUACCUGCUAGCCGUGACGUUAACAACAGAAGAAGCACCGGCUAACUCCGUGCCAGCAGCCGCGGUAAUACGGAGGGUGCGAGCGUUAAUCGGAAUUACUGGGCGUAAAGCGCACGCAGGCGGUUUGUUAAGCUAGAUGUGAAAGCCCCGGGCUCAACCUGGGAUGGUCAUUUAGAACUGGCAGACUAGAGUCUUGGAGAGGGGAGUGGAAUUCCAGGUGUAGCGGUGAAAUGCGUAGAUAUCUGGAGGAACAUCAGUGGCGAAGGCGACUCCCUGGCCAAAGACUGACGCUCAUGUGCGAAAGUGUGGGUAGCGAACAGGAUUAGAUACCCUGGUAGUCCACACCGUAAACGCUGUCUACUAGCUGUGUGUGUCUUUAAGACGUGCGUAGCGAAGCUAACGCGCUAAGUAGACCGCCUGGGGAGUACGGCCGCAAGGUUAAAACUCAAAUGAAAUUUUGACGGA